UUCGAAACUUACAAGGCAUAUGGUGGGAAAAGUAAAGGUCCACAAUUACAAUGGGGUGCUGCUGUGUGUGCUCAACAGGAUGGGGGUACUGAGUGCGGGUAUUUUACUUCAAGGUUCAUGUAUGACAUAGUCCACUCAUAUAGUGGAAGUGAAAAUCUAUUCAAGGAUUUUAAGGUGACUAAACCUUAUACUAAUGGGCAAAUUCGUGAAGUUUUAACUUGUUGGGCUCUAUACUUUUUGGACUUUGUAUUCUCCUGAAGUAUAGUAUUUUGUUAGAAUUAAAAGCUACUAUUAUUAGAAGAUAUUUACUUGUAACUGUUAAAGCUUAUCUUCCAUUGCAGUUUUAUUUGUUUUGAAAUAUUUUGAUGUUUUGGACAACUUGUAACAGAUGUCGUUUUAGGAUGAUUUUAUGGAUUUUGAAUGGUUAAUGAUUUUGUAUUGGUCAUGGGCAAUAUUUUAUGAUAGUUGAUUUUUUUUUUUUGAUUUUAAUUGCUUAUUAUUGGUACAAAAUGAAGCGCUUUGGAGAUAGAUGAUGGGAUGUGUGGUAUACUAGAUUGCCUCGUUGUAAAUGGAGGUGUUAUUCCCUCUUUGUGGAAUAUUUUUUAAAAAUAGAAAAGUUGCAUAUAUUGCUUCGGGCUUACGAUUGAGACCAAAGCAAUUACUUAAAUCAAUUGAUUUGAAUAAUUCAUAAGUUCGAAGCAAUUAGAACUUUUAAUGCUUCGAACAAUUGAUAGGCGCGAAGCAAUUGCUAGUACGUUUUAAUAGUUGCUACGAUCAAAUGCUUCGAAAUAUUGGUAAGUGCAAUGCAAUAGGAGUCUUAAAUGCUUCGCACUUGUGCGAAGCAAUUGAAUGCCUUCAAUUGCAUCGAGUCUAUAUGCUUCGCACAUAAUACGAAUCAAUAACCCCUUUUAGGCUCGAAGCAAUAUCCCUUUUUUGUACUAGUGACAGUUAGGGUCAAACCAAAUCGGGUCAAAUUAGAUAUUUACCGGGUCAAAUCGGUGUCCGGUGAAAUUCAGGUCGAGUCAAAUCGGUGUCGGGUGGAGUUUGGGUGGAAUCUAACCGGCGACAAGUGGAGUUCGGGUUGGAUCAAACUAGUUACGGGCGGAGUUCUGAUCGGGUGAAACGGGUGUCGUGUAAAGUAAAAUCGGUUACAGAUCUGGUUUGGGUCCUGAAUUUUCCGGGUCAAACCAGUUCGAUUAGAGUUCAAAACAGUUGGUUUUUCGAAGUCGGGUCAGCUUCGGACACCUCUACUUCUGCCUUUCAAGUUGA
Long non-coding RNA from Spinacia oleracea (spinach), 1269 nucleotides. RefSeq lists it as uncharacterized. The transcript is spliced from 3 exons. The record is from RefSeq and is a predicted model, not a curated record. Lineage: Eukaryota; Viridiplantae; Streptophyta; Magnoliopsida; Caryophyllales; Amaranthaceae.